CANGGAGGGUCANGCGUUAUCCNGGAUUUAUUUGGGUUUAAAUGGGUGCGUAGGCUGAAUAUUAAGUCAGUGGUGAAAUCCUGUGGCUCAACCAUAGAAUUGCCAUUGAUACUGAUAUUCUUGAAUGCAGUUGAGGCAGGCGGAAUGUGUAAUGUAGCGGUGAAAUGCUUAGAUAUUACACAGAACACCGAUUGCGAAGGCAGCUUGCUAAACUGUGAUUGACGCUGAUGCACGAAAGCGUGGGGAGCGAACAGGAUUAGAUACCCUGGUAGUCCACGCCGUAAACGAUGAUCACUCGUUGUUUGUGAUAUACAAUAAGCGACUGAGCGAAAGCAUUAAGUGAUCCACCUGGGGAGUACGUCGGCAACGAUGAAACUCAAAGGAAUUGACGGGGGCCCGCACAAGCGGAGGAACAUGUGGUUUAAUUCGAUGAUACGCGAGGAACCUUACCUGGGUUUAAAUGUAGGUUGCAUGAGAGGGAAACUUCUCUUUCUUUCGGGACUACCUACAAGGUGCUGCAUGGUUGUCGUCAGCUCGUGCCGUGAGGUGUCGGGUUAAGUCCCAUAACGAGCGCAACCNCCUAUCGUUAGUUGCCAUCAGGUCAUGCUGGGGACUCUAACGAGACUGCCGGUGUAAACCGUGAGGAAGGUGGGGAUGACGUCAAAUCAGCACGGCCCUUAUAUCCAGGGCUACACACGUGUUACAA
Molecule: ribosomal RNA, 706 nt
Filed under: uncultured bacterium
Lineage: Bacteria
Description: bacterial SSU rRNA
Rfam family: Bacterial small subunit ribosomal RNA
Source: RNAcentral